Molecule: non-coding RNA, 30 nt
Filed under: Mus musculus (house mouse)
Lineage: Eukaryota; Metazoa; Chordata; Mammalia; Rodentia; Muridae
Source: RNAcentral
UAGUUGUUGCUCUUGGCCCUUCCUACAUGA